This 204-nucleotide long non-coding RNA is filed under the name Elaeis guineensis (African oil palm). RNAcentral describes it as "long non-coding RNA (EGUI_LNC070343)". Lineage: Eukaryota; Viridiplantae; Streptophyta; Magnoliopsida; Arecales; Arecaceae. The record is from RNAcentral.
AUGGUCUAGAUCAUAGCCGAUCAUGAUCGGAUGGUUGAAACUCAAUCCAAGUAUGAUCAAGUAUAAUCAUAGGCUAUUUUGCAUGAUCGCAUGGCUCUGGUGUGAGCCAGUCAUGAUCAAACGGCCACAGAUGAUUGGGACUCUUUAUUCUUACUGAAGCAGUAUUUUUGAGAUUCUGGAGCCUAUAUAGCUCUGAUUGAUGGG